RNAcentral lists this ribosomal RNA (473 nucleotides) under uncultured bacterium. RNAcentral describes it as "bacterial SSU rRNA". It matches the Rfam family "Bacterial small subunit ribosomal RNA", at positions 26 to 518 of the family's 1533-position model. The record is from RNAcentral.
AGGACGAACGCUGGCGGCGUGCCUAACACAUGCAAGUCGAGCGAUGAAGCCCUUCGGGGUUGAUUAGCGGCGGACGGGUGAGUAACACGUGGGUAACCUGCCUCAUAGAGGGGGAUAGCCUCCCGAAAGGGAGAUUAAUACCGCAUAACAUAUUUGGUUGCAUGACUGAAAUAUCAAAGGAGUAAUCCGCUAUGAGAUGGACCCGCGGCGCAUUAGCUAGUUGGUGAGGUAAGGGCUCACCAAGGCGACGAUGCGUAGCCGACCUGAGAGGGUGAUCGGCCACAUUGGAACUGAGACACGGUCCAGACUCCUACGGGAGGCAGCAGUGGGGAAUAUUGCGCAAUGGAGGAAACUCUGACGCAGCCAACGCCGCGUGAAUGAUGAAGGCCUUAGGGUUGUAAAGUUCUGUCUUCUGGGACGAUAAUGACGGUACCAGAGGAGGAAGCCACGGCUAACUACGUGCCAGCAGCUGC